GAUGAAGAACGUAGCGAAAUGCGAUAAGUAGUGUGAAUUGCAGAAUUUAGUGAAUCAUCGAAUCUUUGAACGCACAUUGCGCCCGCCAGUACUCUGGCGGGCAUGCCUGUUCGAGCGUCAUUUCAACCCUCGGGCCCCGCAUUCGUGCGGGCCCCGGCGUUGGGGACCGGCCUCCGCAUCGGACGGCCGCCCCCGAAACCCAGUGGCGGUCCCGCCGCGGCCUUCUCUGCGUAGUAGCAUACACCUCGCACUGGAGAGCGGCGCGGCCACGCCGUAAAAGAAACGAACUUUCUGAAGGUUGACCUCGGAUCAGGUAGGAAUACCCGCUGAACUUAAGCAUAUCAAUAAGCGGAGGA
RNAcentral lists this unclassified non-coding RNA (356 nucleotides) under soil metagenome. Its description in RNAcentral is "partial contains 5.8S ribosomal RNA, internal transcribed spacer 2, and large subunit ribosomal RNA". The stretch from base 1 to 120 matches the Rfam family "5.8S ribosomal RNA", at positions 35 to 154 of the family's 154-position model. The record is from RNAcentral.